This 433-nucleotide ribosomal RNA is filed under the name uncultured bacterium. RNAcentral's name for it is "partial 16S ribosomal RNA". It matches the Rfam family "Bacterial small subunit ribosomal RNA", at positions 29 to 507 of the family's 1533-position model. The record is from RNAcentral.
AACGAACGCUGGCGGCAUGCCUAACACAUGCAAGUCGAACGAGACCUUCGGGUCUAGUGGCGCACGGGUGCGUAACGCGUGGGAACCUGCCCUUAGGUUCGGAAUAACUCCCCGAAAGGGGUGCUAAUACCGGAUAAUGUCUUCGGACCAAAGAUUUAUCGCCUUUGGAUGGGCCCGCGUUGGAUUAGCUAGUUGGUAGGGUAAAAGCCUACCAAGGCGACGAUCCAUAGCUGGUCUGAGAGGAUGAUCAGCCACACUGGGACUGAGACACGGCCCAGACUCCUACGGGAGGCAGCAGUGGGGAAUAUUGGACAAUGGGCGAAAGCCUGAUCCAGCAAUGCCGCGUGAGUGAUGAAGGCCUUAGGGUUGUAAAGCUCUUUUACCCGGGAUGAUAAUGACAGUACCGGGAGAAUAAGCGCCGGCUAACUCCGCG